AUUGAACGCUGGCGGCAGGCUUAACACAUGCAAGUCGAGCGGAGAUGAGGUGCUUGCACCUUAUCUUAGCGGCGGACGGGUGAGUAAUGCUUAGGAAUCUGCCAUUUAGUGGGGGACAACAUUCCGAAAGGAAUGCUAAUACCGCAUACGUCCUACGGGAGAAAGCAGGGGAUCUUCGGACCUUGCGCUAAAUGAUGAGCCUAAGUCGGAUUAGCUAGUUGGUGGGGUAAAGGCCUACCAAGGCGACGAUCUGUAGCGGGUCUGAGAGGAUGAUCCGCCACACUGGGACUGAGACACGGCCCAGACUCCUACGGGAGGCAGCAGUGGGGAAUAGUGGACAAUGGGGGGAACCCUGAUCCAGCCAUGCCGCGUGUGUGAAGAAGGCCUUAUGGUUGUAAAGCACUUUAAGCGAGGAGGAGGCUACUGAGACUAAUACUCUUGGAUAGUGGACGUUACUCGCAGAAUAAGCACCGGCUAACUCUGUG
Molecule: ribosomal RNA, 485 nt
Filed under: uncultured bacterium
Lineage: Bacteria
Description: partial 16S ribosomal RNA
Rfam family: Bacterial small subunit ribosomal RNA
Source: RNAcentral